AACGAACGCUGGCGGCAUGCCUAACACAUGCAAGUCGAACGAGACCUUCGGGUCUAGUGGCGCACGGGUGCGUAACGCGUGGGAACCUGCCCUUAGGUUCGGAAUAACUCCCCGAAAGGGGUGCUAAUACCGGAUAAUGUCUUCGGACCAAAGAUUUAUCGCCUUUGGAUGGGCCCGCGUUGGAUUAGCUAGUUGGUAGGGUAAAAGCCUACCCAGGCGACGAUCCAUAGCUGGUCUGAGAGGAUGAUCAGCCACACUGGGCCUGGGACCCGGCCCAGACUCCUACGGGAGGCAGCAGUUGGGAAUAUUGGACGAUGGGCGAAAGCCUGAGCCAGCAAUGCCGCGUGAGUGAUGAAGGCCUUAGGGUUGUAAAGCUCUUUUACCCGGGAUGAUAGUGACAGUACCGGGAGAAUAAGCUCCGGCUAACUACGUG
Molecule: ribosomal RNA, 433 nt
Filed under: uncultured bacterium
Lineage: Bacteria
Description: partial 16S ribosomal RNA
Rfam family: Bacterial small subunit ribosomal RNA
Source: RNAcentral